This 757-nucleotide ribosomal RNA is filed under the name Galerina arctica. Its description in RNAcentral is "eukaryotic LSU rRNA". It matches the Rfam family "Eukaryotic large subunit ribosomal RNA", at positions 78 to 817 of the family's 3401-position model. Lineage: Eukaryota; Fungi; Basidiomycota; Agaricomycetes; Agaricales; Galerinaceae. The record is from RNAcentral.
CCCUAGUAACUGCGAGUGAAGCGGGAAAAGCUCAAAUUUAAAAUCUGGUGGCCCUAGGCUAUCCGAGUUGUAAUCUAGAGAAGUGUUAUCCGCGUUGGACCGUGUACAAGUCUCCUGGAAUGGAGCGUCAUAGAGGGUGAGAAUCCCGUCUUUGACACGGACUACCAAGGCUUUGUGAUGCGCUCUCAAAGAGUCGAGUUGUUUGGGAAUGCAGCUCAAAAUGGGUGGUAAAUUCCAUCUAAAGCUAAAUAUUGGCGAGAGACCGAUAGCGAACAAGUACCGUGAGGGAAAGAUGAAAAGAACUUUGGAAAGAGAGUUAAACAGUACGUGAAAUUGCUGAAAGGGAAACGCUUGAAGUCAGUCGCGUUGUCCAGGAAUCAACCUUGCUUUUUGCUGGGUGUACUUUCUGGUUGACGGGUCAGCAUCAAUUUUGACCGUUGGAUAAAGUCUAAAAGGAAUGUGGCAUCUUCGGAUGUGUUAUAGCCUUUGGUCGCAUACAACGGUUGGGAUUGAGGAACUCAGCACGCCGCAAGGCCGAGUAUUUAUACUACGUUCGUGCUUAGGAUGCUGGCAUAAUGGCUUUAAUCGACCCGUUCUUGAAACACGGACCAAGGAGUCUAACAUGCCUGCAAGUGUUUGGGUGGAAAACCCGAGCGCGUAAUGAAAGUGAAAGUUGAGAUCCCUGUCGCGGGGAGCAUCGACGCCCGGACUUGACCUUUUGUGACGGAUCCGCGGUAGAGCAUGUAUGUUGGGACCC